RNAcentral lists this microRNA (21 nucleotides) under Oryctolagus cuniculus (rabbit). Its description in RNAcentral is "Ocu-Mir-181-P2c_3p* (star (passenger))". The record is from RNAcentral. Lineage: Eukaryota; Metazoa; Chordata; Mammalia; Lagomorpha; Leporidae.
CCCACGGGCAGGUGAAUGUCA